CUCCCUGUGGCUCAGUUGGUAGAGCAUGGUGUGUGCAACACCAGGGUUGUGGGUUCGAUUCCCACAGGGGGC
Molecule: transfer RNA, 72 nt
Filed under: Salmo salar (Atlantic salmon)
Lineage: Eukaryota; Metazoa; Chordata; Actinopteri; Salmoniformes; Salmonidae
Rfam family: tRNA
About the family: Transfer RNA (tRNA) molecules are approximately 80 nucleotides in length. Their secondary structure includes four short double-helical elements and three loops (D, anti-codon, and T loops).
Source: Rfam by way of RNAcentral